This 469-nucleotide ribosomal RNA is filed under the name uncultured bacterium. RNAcentral's name for it is "partial 16S ribosomal RNA". It matches the Rfam family "Bacterial small subunit ribosomal RNA", at positions 29 to 507 of the family's 1533-position model. The record is from RNAcentral.
AUGAACGCUGGCGGCGUGCUUAACACAUGCACGUCGAACGCUGAAGCACCAGCUUGCUGGUGUGGAUGAGUGGCGAACGGGUGAGUAAUACGUGAGUAACCUGCCCUUGACUCUGGGAUAAGCCCGGGAAACUGGGUCUAAUACUGGAUGCUACAUGUCACCGCAUGGUGGUGUGUGGAAAGGGUUUACUGGUCUUGGAUGGGCUCACGGCCUAUCAGCUUGUUGGUGAGGUAAUGGCUCACCAAGGCGACGACGGGUAGCCGGCCUGAGAGGGUGACCGGCCACACUGGGACUGAGACACGGCCCAGACUCCUACGGGAGGCAGCAGUGGGGAAUAUUGCACAAUGGGCGAAAGCCUGAUGCAGCGACGCCGCGUGAGGGAUGACGGCCUUCGGGUUGUAAACCUCUUUCAGCAGGGAAGAAGCCACAAGUGACGGUACCUGCAGAAGAAGCGCCGGCUAACUACGUG